RNAcentral lists this long non-coding RNA (200 nucleotides) under Homo sapiens (human). Its description in RNAcentral is "HSALNT0305117". The record is from RNAcentral. Lineage: Eukaryota; Metazoa; Chordata; Mammalia; Primates; Hominidae.
GUGGUGGUGGUGGUGAUGGUGGUGUUGUUGCUGAUGGUGGUGAUGGUGGUGUUGCUGGUGUUGCUGGUGGUGGUGGUGAUGGUGAUGGUGGUGGUGUGAUGGUGGUGCGAUGGUGAUGGUGGUGGUGAUGGUGGUGAUGGUGGCAGUGGUGAUGGUGGUGAUGGUGGUGGUGAUGGUGGUGAUGGUGGCAGUGGUGGUGG